CUACGGGUGGCAGCAGUGAGGAAUAUUGGUCAAUGGGCGCGCGCCUGAACCAGCCAAGUCGCGUGAGGGAAGACGGUCCUAUGGAUUGUAAACCUCUUUUGUCGGGGAGCAAAAGACGCCACGCGUGGCGUUCCGCGAGUACCCGAAGAAAAAGCAUCGGCUAACUCCGUGCCAGCAGCCGCGGUACUACGGAGGAUGCGAGCGUUAUCCGGAUUUAUUGGGUUUAAAGGGUGCGCAGGCGGAAGAUCAAGUCAGCGGUAAAAUUGAGAGGCUCAACCUCUUCGAGCCGUUGAAACUGGUUUUCUUGAGUGAGUGAGAAGUAUGCGGAAUGCGUGGUGUAGCGGUGAAAUGCAUAGAUAUCACGCAGAACUCCGAUUGCGAAGGCAGCAUACCGGCGCUCAACUGACGCUGAGGCACGAAAGCGUGGGGAUCGAACAGGAUUAGAUACCCCAGUAGUC
This 458-nucleotide ribosomal RNA is filed under the name uncultured bacterium. Its description in RNAcentral is "partial 16S ribosomal RNA". It matches the Rfam family "Bacterial small subunit ribosomal RNA", at positions 339 to 795 of the family's 1533-position model. The record is from RNAcentral.